Anopheles gambiae (African malaria mosquito) is the source of this 3603-nucleotide long non-coding RNA. RefSeq lists it as uncharacterized. The record is from RefSeq and is a predicted model, not a curated record. The transcript is spliced from 3 exons. Lineage: Eukaryota; Metazoa; Arthropoda; Insecta; Diptera; Culicidae.
GAAUAGUUUUCGGAUAAAGUUUCCUUUUCUUUCUUUGGUUUUUGCUGCUAAUAAUUACCGAAGCCGUUGUAAGAAAUUGCUGGUGAUGAAGAGAGGGAAAAAGCCUUUUCGCCCUCUAUUUAUUAAUUUAUGAUCGAUAGAGAUGUGUACAUCAACGGGCGCGGAUGUGAUCCGAUCCGCAGUUCAAAUCUGCACGAUUCGUGUAGCUGCUCGAACAUCCUCCCCACCUUGACGAAUGUCAACAAAAAGUUGCUUCCUAGACUACACGUGGUUUUCGCUAUCAGUUCUGAGCGGUAAAACGCAUAUUUUCGUGAUCGGUCGCGUAAUUAUUCCCUUAGCUGUCUUAAGCGUAACGACGCGUACUAUCUUGUCUUCACCGGGAUGGAUUUUAACGAUACGCGCGAGAGGCCAACGAGUGGUGGGUAACGAUUCGUCCAUGAGGAUCACUAACCUGCCGGGAAGUAUGUUGCUGUUGUUGCUGCCACCACUUGCAUAACAUUUCUGCAUUUCUUGUAGAUACUCAGUGGCCCAAUGCUUCCAAAAACGCUGAACCAAAAGCUGCCACUUCUGAAGAUCAUCUAGCGUGCAGGAUUUCAGCUGGGUGUAGUCCGGUUCAGGCACGGCGAACAUCGAUGUGCCAAUAAGGAAGUGUGCCGGUGUGAGUGCAGCUAGCUCGUUGGGAUCGUCGGACAAAGGCAACAGCGGACGGGAAUUCAUCGCUGCUUCGAUUUGGUGGAGCACAGUGCAGUAGCCUUCGUACGACAGCCGCGUAUUGCCCAGGUGACGAUAGAGGUGUCGCUUCGCCGUCUUUACUGCUGCUUCCCAUAAUCCGCCGAAGUGUGGAGCCUUUGGUGGGUUGAAAUGCCAAGUGAUUCCCCGGUCAGCGCAUCUAGUAGCCACGGUGUUGCGGUGUUGUUCGUCGUUGAACAGCUCAAAAAGCUCCUUCAGUUCACGUUCUGCGCCUUCGAAGUUUUUCCCAUUAUCAGAAUGGAUGUGGGCUGGCAAUCCGCGUCGUGAUGUGAAUCGGCGUAGCGCUGCUAAGAAUCCCGCCGUUGUUAGGUCUCCUACGAGUUCCAAGUGCACAGCUUUCGUAGCGAAACAAACGAAAACGCACAGAUAGCUCUUAGUAGCUGCUGCCUUCCGGUGCGCUGGCUUCAAGUAGAAUGGACCGGCGUAAUCCACUCCGGUUACAGAAAAAGGUCGGCUCGGUGUGAUGCGGGAUGGUGGAAGCUGGCCAACCGGCUGCCGGGCGAGUGCGGGAUCUUGCCGAAUACAGCGGAAGCAGUUUCUUGCAAUGCUUUUUACCAAGCGACGUCCGUCCAGUGGCCAAUACAGUUCUCUAAUGCGGGAUAGCAAUAGCCUUCAACUAGCAUGUUUCAUCUCUUCAUGAUAAUCUUCCGCAAGUAGACGGGUGAAUUUGUGGUUCUUCGGUAGAACAGCUGGAUGCUUGGACUGAUACGGUAGUUGCGACAAGUUCAAUCGUCCUCCCACCCGUAUUACUUCUUCUGUAUCCAGGAAUGGGGUAAGUUUUCGUAAAGGUGAUUGUUUCAUCAAUGCUUCUCCCUUUUUUAGCUGCUUGAUUUCCGCGGAAAAUGCAUCUUGCUGGGCUAGUCUGCAAAGCACAAUUUUUGCAGCAUCCACGUACUUGGGCGUGAUCGUCUUGGAUGCAUUGGUGUGCGGUAUCGAUCGCUGUGAUCGCGCCUUCUGCUUGGUGUUGCGCACAAAACGUAUGCAGUAUGCAAUGAUGCGUACCAUUCUGGUGAAGGAUGAAGAAAUGCCAAACCAUGGAUGAGUUUGUGUACAAACUAAAGCGGCACUCACCUGGCGUGUUUCUAGGUCCGCCUCAUCGCUUGGUUCUGGAUCUGAGCUGGGCCAAUGGGACGAAGGUUGCACAAGCCAAUCUGGACCGUUAUUCCAAAGCUGAUUCUGCGUGAAGUGUGCUGCCGACAUGCCUCGGGAAACCAAGUCAGCAGGAUUGGAUGUGACAGGAACGUGCCUCCAUUGCCUUGGAUGAGAGUAGUGUUGCACCUCAGCUACUCGAUUUGCCACGAACGUCUUCCAGGAGUUGGGAGGUGACGCAAUCCAUUUUAGCGUCACUGUUGAGUCGGACCAGAAAAACGAUUCGGCGCACACGAUCUGCAUUGCCUCCUUGACGCGAUGAUGCAGAUGGGCGCCCAGGACAGCUGCGCUUAGUUCAAGCCUCGGCAACGUGACGCGCUUCAGUGGUGCCACUCGAGACUUCGAAGCUAAUAGGCUGAUGCGGACUUCUCCAGCCGCGUUUUCACAACGAGCGUAGACACAUGCUCCGUAGGCGGCCUCAGAAGCAUCGGUAAAUGUGUGAAAUUCUACUGUUGCAUCUGAUGUGAUUAGGAACAGGUUCAUCCCAGCCGGAUUUGAGUAGCCAUAGCUCCUGCAUCAGCAUCUUAGCACGCACGAUCACCGGUGCUAUCAAUCCGAGCGGAUCGUACAUUUUGGCAAUGCUCGACAAAAUAGAUCGCUUGGUCGACGUGGCUUCAUCAGCCUCAGUGUUGGAUUCAAAACACAGCUCAUCCGAUUCAGGCUUCCACGAGAUGCCGAGUGCUUUGACCGUCUCGUUGGGUAUAAAAUGCAGCGAUGAGUGUGUGCCGAUAUACUCGGUGCUUAAGCCGGAGAGUACGCUCAGAUUGUUUGAGGUCCACUUGCGCAACUCAAACCCACCUUUGGCAAGUAGCGCUGAUAACUCCUUACGCAGCUGAACAGCUUCGCGAACGUUAUUGGCACCACCAAUGAAGUCGUCCACGUAAAAGUUUCGUUUCAGGGCUGCAGGUGCAAGCGCAUACUCAGUCCCUUCAUCCUCUGCUAGUUGGAUAAGUGUGCGUGUAGCCAGAAACGAGGAAGGUGCUAGUCCGUAUGUAACGGUGUUGAGCUCAUAUACUUGGAUCGGAGCUUGCGGCGAAAAUCGAAAGAAUAUGCGCACCAAUCGACAAUCGUCAGAAUGCAGCAGUAUUUGUCGGUACAUUUUAGCUAUAUCUCCCACAAGUGCUAUUUGAUCCGUCGAACACGACCCUUACUUUCGUGGUGGUACUGGAGGCUUUAAAUACGGGAUGGUGCGGUAGGUAGUACGCCCGUUCAUCCCCACUAUCUUUGUUCAUGAGCGACAUGUGCCCCAGCUCCAAAUACUCCUUCAUGAAGGCAUGAUAGUCUUCCUUGAGCUGUGGGUUGCGUUCUAGCCUCCUCUCCAGUAGCUCGAAGCGUCUCAAAGCGGUAGUUUUAGACUGGCCAAGCUUUUCCGUGAAGUCGGUCUGUUUGGGCAAUCGUACAAUAUAGCGACCCGACUCGUCGCGCUGAGUGGUUUCUUUAUACAAUGUUUCGCAUCGCCGCUCAUCAGGUGAGUACGAAUCAUUGACGCUUAACUCUUCCAGCUUCCAAAAGCGUUCUAGAGACUCCUCCAGGGAUGCCAUGCAGACGAUUGUGGACGUGGCGGUACAAUCGGUCGGAGAUGCAGGAUUCUGAGGAGAGGUGGGACCAAUCAUGACCCACCCAAACACGCUGUUCAGCAUAGUUGGAAGGCUCGGAGCAAGCUCGUGCGAUUUUACGUUCGUAAAGAAGGAAGCAUAAUGACGG